GGUCACUGCUAUUGGGAUUCGGCUAAGCCAUGCAAGCGGAGGGCGCGGUCGAAAGAUCGUGGCCCCGCACACUGCUCAGUAACACGUAGUCAACCUACCCUUGGGACGGGGACAACCUCGGGAAACUGAGGCUAAUACCCGAUAGGUGAGGGACGCUGGGAUGCCUCCUCGCCCAAAGCUCCGGCGCCCAAGGAUGGGACUGCGGUCUAUCAGGCUGUUGGUGGUGUAACGGACCACCAAACCUACGACGGGUACGGGCGAUGGGAGUCGGAGCCCGGAGAUGGGGACUGAGACAAGGCCCCAGGCCCUACGGGGCGCAGCAGGCGCGAAAACUCCGCAAUGCGCGCAAGCGUGACGGGGGGAUCCCAAGUGCCGUUGGUCUUUCGAUCGACGGUUUUUAGGAAGUCUAAGAAGCUUCCAGAAUAAGGGCUGGGCAAGACUGGUGCCAGCCGCCGCGGUAACACCAGCAGCCCAAGUGGUGGCCACGAUUAUUGGGCCUAAAGCGCUCGUAGCCGGAUCAGCAAGUCCCUUGUGAAAUCGGGCCGCCUAACGGUUCGGCGUGCAAGGGAUACUGUUGGUCUUGAGGCCGGGAGAGGUCGGAGGUACUCCUGGGGUAGCGGUGAAAUGCUCUAAUCCUAGGGGGACCACCAGUGGCGAAGGCGUCCGACCAGAACGGACCUGACGGUGAGGGGCGAAGGCUAGGGGAGCGAACGGGAUUAGAUACCCCGGUAGUCCUAGCUGUAAAGCAUGCGGGCCAGGUGUCUAGCGCUCCUUGAGGGCACUAGGUGCCGGAGGGAAGCCGUUAAGCCCGCCGCCUGGGAAGUACGGCCGCAAGGCUGAAACUUAAAGAAAUUGGCGGGGGAGCACCACAAGAGGUGGGACCUGCGGUUC
Molecule: ribosomal RNA, 891 nt
Filed under: uncultured archaeon
Lineage: Archaea
Description: bacterial SSU rRNA
Rfam family: Archaeal small subunit ribosomal RNA
Source: RNAcentral